GGACGAACGCUGGCGGCGUGCUUAACACAUGCAAGUCGAACGAUGACGACCGAGCUUGCUCGGUCUGAUUAGUGGCGAACGGGUGAGUAACACGUGAGYAACCUGCCCCYCACUCUGGGAUAACCUCGGGAAAUCGUGGCUAAUACCGGAUAUGAGCUUCUCCUGCAUGGGAGUUGCUGGAAAGUUUUUCGGUGGGGGAUGGACUCGCGGCCUAUCAGUUUGUUGGUGAGGUAACGGCUCACCAAGGCGAUGACGGGUAGCCGGCCUGAGAGGGCGACCGGCCACACUGGGACUGAGACACGGCCCAGACUCCUACGGGAGGCAGCAGUGGGGAAUAUUGCACAAUGGGCGAAAGCCUGAUGCAGCGACGCCGCGUGGGGGAUGACGGCCUUCGGGUUGUAAACCUCUUUCAGCAGGGAAGAAGCGAAAGUGACGGUACCUGCAGAAGAAGCGCCGGCUAACUACGU
This 467-nucleotide ribosomal RNA is filed under the name Dermabacteraceae bacterium 'ARUP UnID 162'. RNAcentral's name for it is "bacterial SSU rRNA". It matches the Rfam family "Bacterial small subunit ribosomal RNA", at positions 27 to 506 of the family's 1533-position model. The record is from RNAcentral. Lineage: Bacteria; Bacillati; Actinomycetota; Actinomycetes; Micrococcales; Dermabacteraceae.